UACAGGGGGGGCAAGCGUUGUUCGGAAUUACUGGGCGUAAAGGGUUCGUAGGUGGCCACUUAAGUCAGACGUGAAAUCCCUCAGCUUAACUGGGGAACUGCGUCUGAUACUGAGUGGCUUGAGUGCAGGAGAGGAAUGCGGAAUUCCAGGUGUAGCGGUGAAAUGCGUAGAUAUCUGGAGGAACACCGGUGGCGAAGGCGGCAUCCUGGACCGAGAUUGACACUGAUGAGCGAAAGCUAGGGGAGCAAACGGG
RNAcentral lists this ribosomal RNA (253 nucleotides) under uncultured bacterium. RNAcentral's name for it is "partial 16S ribosomal RNA". It matches the Rfam family "Bacterial small subunit ribosomal RNA", at positions 524 to 776 of the family's 1533-position model. The record is from RNAcentral.